UACAUGGGGUGCAAACGUUGCUCGGAAUUAUUGGGCGUAAAGCGCGCGUAGGCGGUUACUUAAGUCGGAUGUGAAAGCCCUCGGCUUAACUGAGGAAGUGCACCCGAAACUGAGUAGCUAGAGUACGAAAGAGGGUCGCGGAAUUCCCGGUGUAGAGGUGAAAUUCGUAGAUAUUGGGAGGAACACCAGUGGCGAAGGCGGCUCACUGGACCGGUACUGACGCUGAUGCGCGAAAGCGUGGGGAGCAAACGGG
This 253-nucleotide ribosomal RNA is filed under the name uncultured bacterium. Its description in RNAcentral is "partial 16S ribosomal RNA". It matches the Rfam family "Bacterial small subunit ribosomal RNA", at positions 524 to 776 of the family's 1533-position model. The record is from RNAcentral.